Molecule: long non-coding RNA, 1158 nt
Filed under: Salmo salar (Atlantic salmon)
Lineage: Eukaryota; Metazoa; Chordata; Actinopteri; Salmoniformes; Salmonidae
Description: lncRNA (ENSSSAG00000103081.1)
Source: RNAcentral
AGAGCCUGCAUGGUUAAGGGCUUGGAAGCAUUUCACAGUAAGGUCUACACCUCUUGUUUUCGGCGCAUGUGACAAAUACAACUUGAUUUGAUUUGAUCAUAGAGGUUAAAGAGAAAUACUGAGGAUUCAGAAACACCAUUUCCCCAUGUAACCUCAGUCCCCAUGUAACCCAGGUCCCCAUGUAACCCAGGACUCCAUGUAACCCAGGUCUCCAUGUAACCCAGGUCUCCAUGUAACCCAGGUCCCCAUGUAACCCAGGACUCCAUGUAACCCAGGUCUCCAUGUAACCAAAAUCCCCAUGUAACCCAGGUCCCCAUGUAACCAUGUAACCCCAGUCCCCAUGUAACCCCAGUCCCCAUGUAACCCAGGUGCCCAUGUAAACCAGGUCCCCAUGUAUUUCCUCAUGUAACCCAGGUCCCCCAUGUAACCCAGGUCCCCAUGUAACACCAGUCCCCAUGUAACCCCAGUCCCCAUGUAAACCAGGUCCCCAUGUAUUUCCUCAUGUAACCCAGGUCCCCAUGUAACCCAGGUCCCCAUGUAACACCAGUCCCCAUGUAACCCCAGUCCCCAUGUAACCCAGGUCUCCAUGUAACCCAGGUCCCCAUGUAACCCAGGUCCCCAUGUAUUUCCCCAUGUAACCCAGGACUCCAUGUAACCCAGGUCUCCAUGUAACCCAGGUCCCCAUGUAUUUCCCCAUGUAACCCAGGACUCCAUGUAACCCAGGUCCCCAUGUAACCAUGUCACCCAGGUCCCCAUGUAACCCAGGUCCCCAUGUAACCCAGGACUCCAUGUAACCCAGGUCCCCAUGUAACCCAGGUCCCCAUGUAACCCAGGACUCCAUGUAACCCCAGUCACCAUCUAUUUCCCCAUGUAACCCAGGUCCCCAUGUAACCCAGGUCUCCAUGUAACCCCAGUCACCAUAUAUUUCCCCAUGUAACCCAGGUCUCCAUGUAACCCCGGUCCUGAGGAGAAGGGAAUGGCAGGCUGAAUACCACUACCCAAAACACACACACACACAGAGAGAGAGAGAACACCAAGGUCAUCCCUAGCUCACAUUCUCUGCUCUGGUCAACGAUUGUAUUCAGGUUGUCGUGGAGACCCCAGCGCCACGGACACCAAACACUUUGUUUGCAGAGGUCAGAAGAACCCAAAUCACCC